This 674-nucleotide ribosomal RNA is filed under the name uncultured bacterium. RNAcentral's name for it is "bacterial SSU rRNA". It matches the Rfam family "Bacterial small subunit ribosomal RNA", at positions 153 to 845 of the family's 1533-position model. The record is from RNAcentral.
GAAACGGCUGCUAAUACCGCAUAAGCGCACAGAGCUGCAUGGCUCGGUGUGAAAAACUCCGGUGGUAUGGGAUGGGCCCGCGUCUGAUUAGGCAGUUGGCGGGGUAACGGCCCACCAAACCGACGAUCAGUAGCCGGCCUGAGAGGGCGACCGGCCACAUUGGGACUGAGACACGGCCCAAACUCCUACGGGAGGCAGCAGUGGGGAAUAUUGCACAAUGGGGGAAACCCUGAUGCAGCGACGCCGCGUGAGCGAAGAAGUAUUUCGGUAUGUAAAGCUCUAUCAGCAGGGAAGAUAAUGACGGUACCUGACUAAGAAGCCCCGGCUAACUACGUGCCAGCAGCCGCGGUAAUACGUAGGGGGCAAGCGUUAUCCGGAUUUACUGGGUGUAAAGGGAGCGUAGACGGCAAGGCAAGUCUGAUGUGAAAACCCAGGGCUUAACCCUGGGACUGCAUUGGAAACUGUCUGGCUCGAGUGCCGGAGAGGUAAGCGGAAUUCCUAGUGUAGCGGUGAAAUGCGUAGAUAUUAGGAAGAACACCAGUGGCGAAGGCGGCUUACUGGACGGUAACUGACGUUGAGGCUCGAAAGCGUGGGGAGCAAACAGGAUUAGAUACCCUGGUAGUCCACGCUGUAAACGAUGAAAGGGAGGUGUUGGGGAGCAAAGCUCUUCGGUG